GAUGAACGCUGGCGGCGCGCCUAACACAUGCAAGUCGAACGGCACCCCUCCUCGGAGGGAAGCGAGUGGCGAACGGCUGAGUAACACGUGGAGAACCUGCCCCCUCCCCCGGGAUAGCCGCCCGAAAGGACGGGUAAUACCGGAUACCCCGGGGUGCCGCAUGGCACCCCGGCUAAAGCCCCGACGGGAGGGGAUGGCUCCGCGGCCCCUCAGGUAGACGGCGGGGUGACGGCCCACCGUGCCGACAACGGGUAGCCGGGUUGAGAGACCGACCGGCCAGAUUGGGACUGAGACACGGCCCAGACUCCUACGGGAGGCAGCAGUGGGGAAUCUUGCGCAAUGGGGGGAACCCUGACGCAGCGACGCCGCGUGCGGGACGGAGGCCUUCGGGUCGUAAACCGCUUUCAGCAGGGAAGAGUCAAGACUGUACCUGCAGAAGAAGCCCCGGCUAACUACGUG
RNAcentral lists this ribosomal RNA (459 nucleotides) under uncultured bacterium. Its description in RNAcentral is "partial 16S ribosomal RNA". It matches the Rfam family "Bacterial small subunit ribosomal RNA", at positions 28 to 507 of the family's 1533-position model. The record is from RNAcentral.